AUCCUUCGCCGUUCGUCAUCCGUUUCCAAAAAACGGAGGGUACUGCGUGGAUCAGAAGAGAAAACUCUACACUUUUAGUGGAUCGGAUCGUCAUUUCGGAGAGUUUCGGGUUUUCCCAAGAAUCGAGGUUUUCGGGAUCUCGGGUUGUCGUUUUGGACCGUUUUCGUACGAAGUUUCAUUUCGAAUAUAAGGUCCGUCCGUGCGUCGGUCCCUGUAGAUAAAGGGACUAGGGUGGUUAUUUUGGUUAGCUUACGUAAGCAUCUAAAUUUUGUAUUAAACUUGAUGAAAGUCCUUUUUGGAGGGUUGUAAUAUGACGAUUACUCUAAGUCCAAAUGUAUGUAAAUUAUGGACGUAUUAGUGAACUCUGGUAUAAGGCUAGUAGUAAUCCCAAUGGAUGUUUAUGUUUUUCCGCGACAUUUACAUCAUGAUUAUGUAUUAUUUACACCCGUAUGUCCCUGUUUAGGGCGGGUUGUUUCCA
Molecule: long non-coding RNA, 478 nt
Organism: Malania oleifera
Lineage: Eukaryota; Viridiplantae; Streptophyta; Magnoliopsida; Santalales; Ximeniaceae
Exons: 3
Source: RefSeq, a predicted model, not a curated record